RNAcentral lists this ribosomal RNA (253 nucleotides) under uncultured bacterium. RNAcentral describes it as "partial 16S ribosomal RNA". It matches the Rfam family "Bacterial small subunit ribosomal RNA", at positions 524 to 776 of the family's 1533-position model. The record is from RNAcentral.
UACGUAGGGACCGAGCGUUGUCCGGAAUCAUUGGGCGUAAAGAGCGUGUAGGCGGCCCCUUAAGUCCUGCGUGAAAUCCUGCGGCUCAACCGCAGACGGUCGUGGGAAACUGGAGGGCUAGAGUGCGGGAGGGGAGAGUGGAAUUCCCGGUGUAGCGGUGAAAUGCGCAGAUAUCGGGAAGAACACCCGUGGCGAAGGCGGCUCUCUGGAACGCAACUGACGCUGAGACGCGAAAGCGUGGGGAGCAAACAGG